CAAAGACUUAAUUAAGUGGGAGACGAAGUGGCAAGGCUCAGACAGCCAGGAUGUUGGCUUAGAAGCAGCCAUCAUUUAAAGAAAGCGUAAUAGCUCACUGGUCGAGUCGGCCUGCGCGGAAGGUGUAACGGGGCUAAAUUCUGCACCGAAGCCGCGUCAGCGAUAUGUAACUAUUGGUGGGUAGUGGAGCGUUCUGUAAGCCUGUGGAUGUGUGCUGUUAUGCGUGACAUCGGAAGUGCG
Molecule: ribosomal RNA, 240 nt
Filed under: Morganella morganii
Lineage: Bacteria; Pseudomonadati; Pseudomonadota; Gammaproteobacteria; Enterobacterales; Morganellaceae
Description: partial 23S ribosomal RNA
Rfam family: Bacterial large subunit ribosomal RNA
Source: RNAcentral